RNAcentral lists this ribosomal RNA (255 nucleotides) under uncultured bacterium. RNAcentral describes it as "partial 16S ribosomal RNA". It matches the Rfam family "Bacterial small subunit ribosomal RNA", at positions 524 to 776 of the family's 1533-position model. The record is from RNAcentral.
UACGGGGGGGAGCAAGCGUUGUUCGGAUUUACUGGGCGUAAAGGGCGCGUAGGCGGUCGUGACAAGUCACUUGUGAAAUCUCCGAGCUUAACUCGGAAAGGUCAACUGAUACUGUGCGGCUAGAGUGCAGAAGGGGCAACUGGAAUUCUCGGUGUAGCGGUGAAAUGCGUAGAUAUCGAGAGGAACACCUGCGGCGAAGGCGGGUUGCUGGGCUGAUACUGACGCUGAGGCGCGAAAGCCAGGGGAGCGAACGGG